RNAcentral lists this ribosomal RNA (443 nucleotides) under uncultured bacterium. Its description in RNAcentral is "partial 16S ribosomal RNA". It matches the Rfam family "Bacterial small subunit ribosomal RNA", at positions 338 to 795 of the family's 1533-position model. The record is from RNAcentral.
CCUACGGGUGGCAGCAGUGGGGAAUAUUGGGCAAUGGGCGCAAGCCUGACCCAGCAACGCCGCGUGAAGGAAGAAGGCUUGCGGGUUGUAAACUUCUUUUCUCAGGGACGAAGCAAGUGACGGUACCUGAGGAAUAAGCAACGGCUAACUACGUGCCAGCAGCCGCGGUAAUACGUAGGUGGCAAGCGUUAUCCGGAUUUACUGGGUGUAAAGGGCGUGUAGGCGGGGACGCAAGUCAGAUGUGAAAACCACGGGCUCAACCUGUGGCCUGCAUUUGAAACUGUGUUUCUUGAGUUCUGGAGAGGCAGACGGAAUUCCUGGUGUAGCGGUGAAAUGCGUAGAUAUUAGGCGGAACACCAGUGGCGAAGGCGGUCUGCUGGCCAGCAACUGACGCUGAGGCGCGAAAGCGUGGGGAGCAAACAGGAUUAGAUACCCUGGUAGUC